Molecule: non-coding RNA, 292 nt
Organism: Podarcis lilfordi (Lilford's wall lizard)
Lineage: Eukaryota; Metazoa; Chordata; Lepidosauria; Squamata; Lacertidae
Source: the annotation of a GenBank genome assembly
GGGAUGUUGUAAGAUCUUGGAUGGUGUUAAUGAAGAUGUUGUCCGCUUUCAGGUUGGGAACAAAAGGUGGUUUUUCCUUUUCAACAGAUCUUGACUAACAGUUCUGUUUUUUGCUUCAUUUUCAGAAGGAAUUCCGGAGGUUUUAGGGUGAUCGGUAUGCAGAUUAAAUGGCUGGAUAUUUGGAAAACGGUUGUCAGUGUUGGUGUGAAGUUCCGCUCUGCAUACUUUUAUUAAUUAAACUGAUUUUAUGUUGCAUUUUGUGUAUACUGUAUUCACGAUGUCGUUUGUAGAC